GGCAGUGCUAACUAGGAAAAGCUCUCCAGAAAGACAUAGCAGGGAGACAGGGAGAACGCAUAUGCGUUCCUCCUGCUCUGAGCCAAGACUGGGGAAGGCUGAACAGGAAACUGACCAGGACAGAUUCGUGCAUGAAAUGGCAAAGUGAGAUGUGCACAGUGUGUGUAGAAAGCAAAAUUAAAGACAAAGCUGCCUGUGAUCAUAAUGGAUAAAGAUAGGAAAUACAACAACAAAAGCAAACAGAAGCAGAAAUAAAUGUACUGUCACACAAGCGACAUUCCUGAGGCAAGGUUCCUGACAGGGAAUGAGCAGGCACGAGGACAAAAAGCAGAGUGUGAAGCCUGAAGAGCUUUCAGGCCCAGGGCUGCAUAGAAGCUGGUGUCAGGGCCAGUGAACGCUUCUGCUUGGACACUGCUCUUCCAGAGGACCCACACGUGGUUCCUGGCCAUCUCAAAACAACGCAAACGACUGAGACAACAGAAAGGACAGGAGGAUAAGUCUGAUGAUGGACGCCAGAUACUCAACAGAGCUGUUCAGAGAAAGAAAGGGACAUGCAUGACAGGUGGGCACACUGGUGACCAUUUUCUGAAACAUGGCAAAAACAAAGGCUUCCCUGCUUUGUGCGCGGUGCUCGGAACCCAUUUCACUCACUGGAUUUUAUGUGCAUUUCAUACUUUGUCAUCUGGAAGAUUAUGUUUUAAUUUAACAAACUGGAUUUAAAAAAAAAAAACAAAAGACAAAAAACAAACAAACC
Molecule: long non-coding RNA, 754 nt
Filed under: Mus pahari (shrew mouse)
Lineage: Eukaryota; Metazoa; Chordata; Mammalia; Rodentia; Muridae
Description: lncRNA (MGP_PahariEiJ_G0003225.1)
Source: RNAcentral